UUGGAGGGCAAGUCUGGUGCCAGCAGCCGCGGUAAUUCCAGCUCCAAUAGCGUAUAUUAAAGUUGUUGCAGUUAAAAAGCUCGUAGUUGAAUUUCGGGGUCAAUAAGUUGGUCGUGCCAAUGGUAUGCACUGGCUUUAUUGAUUCCUACCUCUUGACGAACUGUGAUGCCAUUAAUUUGGUGUCGCAAGGAAUCAGGACUGUUACCUUGAAAAAAUUAGAGUGUUUAAAGCAGGCUUACGCUUGAAUACAUUAGCAUGGAAUAAUGAAAUAGGACGUUUGAACCUAUUUUGUUGGUUUCUAGGAUCGACGUAAUGAUUAAUAGGGAUAGUUGGG
This 334-nucleotide small RNA is filed under the name uncultured Glomeraceae. RNAcentral's name for it is "SSU rRNA". It matches the Rfam family "Eukaryotic small subunit ribosomal RNA", at positions 548 to 886 of the family's 1831-position model. The record is from RNAcentral. Lineage: Eukaryota; Fungi; Glomeromycota; Glomeromycetes; Glomerales; Glomeraceae.